Non-coding RNA from Equus caballus (horse), 604 nucleotides. Lineage: Eukaryota; Metazoa; Chordata; Mammalia; Perissodactyla; Equidae. The record is from RefSeq and is a predicted model, not a curated record.
GAUGCACAUUAGCCUAAAAAGAAUCCAGGGCACUUGGCCACGCCACUCUCCUCUAUUUGUGCGGGCCGCUCCGGCUGGGAUAAGCGAGGCCUGGGUGACCCCAGCAGCCACCGACCGGCUCGUCUGCAGCCUCUCACUUCUCCUUAGGAGAGGCGCGCUCUCUGCAGCUCGCGGUCAGGUGGCGCCACCUUCCGGCUGCAUGGGCGCCCUGCAACGCUUUCCAGGUCUGCCCCAAACUCCAAAAGGAUGGCCUUGUGCAUACCUCCACAUAUCCCACUUUGGAAGCUACUGACUGGUCUGACCAUUCCGGAAUGGUCCAGAAAGGCAGAUUUUGGUUCAGCACCCGGAACCAUCCUUCAAGAAGGAGAGCUUUCCUAAAUGGCCAGCAUCCCUAAGAAGGAUUCUCCAAACACUGGAAGCAUUCAAGCAGAAGCCAACUGACCAACUGGAUGUUCACUUGCCAGCGGUGCAGAAGCAGGGGGAAAACACCAUUUUCUUAUGUCGGAUUUCUUCCAAUCUCUUAGUAAAUUAAGAACUGAACUGGAACAGGUUUAAUUUAAACAAAGUAAAGAUAUUCAGACUUGACAGGAGACAAUGGUAAUGC